Molecule: ribosomal RNA, 936 nt
Filed under: uncultured archaeon
Lineage: Archaea
Description: bacterial SSU rRNA
Rfam family: Archaeal small subunit ribosomal RNA
Source: RNAcentral
UUCCGGUUGAUCCUGCCGGACCCGACUGCUAUUUGGGUGAGAAUAAGCCAUGCGAGUCGAAUGGGAUACCCAAGCUUCCCAUGGCAAACUGCUCAGUAACACAUGAUCAACUUACCCUAUAGAGAAAAAUAACCUCGGGAAACUGAGGAUAAUGUUUCAUGGUUGAAUCGGCUUGGAAAAGUUUUUCAAUCAAAGGGAUAAGAAAAAUGGUUCUUAUUUGCUAUAGGAUAGGAACGUGGACGAUUAUGGUUGUUGGUGAGGUAAUGGCUCACCAAGCCGAUAAUCGAUCGGGGCCGUGAGAGCGGGAGCCCCGAGAUGGGUACUGAGACAACGACCCAGGCCUUACGAGGCGCAGCAGGCGCGGAACCUCCGCAAUACACGAAAGUGUGACGGGGUUACCCAAAGUGUUCAAUUCUGAACUGUGGUAGGUGAGUAAUGUCCCCUACUAGAAAGGAGAGGGCAAGGCUGGUGCCAGCCGCCGCGGUAAAACCAGCUCUUCAAGUGGUCGGGAUAAUUAUUGGGCUUAAAGCGUCCGUAGCCGGUUUAGUUAGUUCCUGGUAAAAUCGGGUAGCUUAACUAUCUGUAUGCUAGGAAUACUGCUAUACUAGAGGGCGGGAGAGGUUUGAGGUACUACAGGGGUAGGGGUGAGAUCUUAUAAUCCUUGUAGGACCACCAGUGGCGAAGGCGUCAGACUGGAACGUGCCUGACGGUGAGGGACGAAAGCCAGGGGAGCGAACCGGGAUUAGAUACGCGGGUAGUCCUGGCCGUAAACGAUGCAUACUAGGUGAUGGCACGGCCAUGAGCCGUGUCAGUGCCGUAGGGAAACCGUUAAGUGUGCCGCCUGGGAAGUACGGUCGCAAGGGCUAAACUUAAAGGAAUUGGCGGGGGAGCCACCACAGGGUGAAGCCCUGGCGUUCAUUGGAAUCAACGCCGGAA